UGGGAUUUUGUUUCUUGUUUCUAUUCAUUUCUGUUUUCAAGUAUGGUAUAAUAUGGGCGUUUUCUUUGUUAAAACUGGUCAGUUAUUCUGCGAGUUCCUCCAAAAUUUUCCCAUUCUAGGUAAUGUCAGGAGUUUGGAAGUGACGACUGCAGUCUCUGCUGGUGAACUUUGCCUCGUUCCUUAUGUUUCCCUGCUAAAAGCAUGCCCUUUGCUGUAUUGGUUCACACUAAAGAUAUCAUAUGAAACUCCCUCGUCGUCAUCUAGAGAGCUUCACAAGGUUCCAAAGGAUUAUACACUUCCAUGCCCCAAGGUGGUGGAAGUGCUUGGUUUUAAAGGACAUGCUGCUGAAAUUGAGCUUGUCCAUGGUAUCUCGCUUGACAAGAUAAUUAUUGAUCUUUGUUCACCAUGCUAUCUGAGAAGCUCAUCACAGUUGAAAUUCAAGGAGACCGGGAUGUAUCAAUUGGCCAAGC
RNAcentral lists this unclassified non-coding RNA (470 nucleotides) under Hevea brasiliensis (rubber tree). Lineage: Eukaryota; Viridiplantae; Streptophyta; Magnoliopsida; Malpighiales; Euphorbiaceae. The record is from RNAcentral.